UGUUAUCGUAAUAGUAAUUGAACUUAGUACGAGAGGAACCGUUCAUUCAGAUAUUUGGUAUUUGCGCCUGUCCGAUCGGGCAAUGGCGCGAAGCUAUCAUCUGCUGGAUUAUGGCUGAACGCCUCUAAGCCAGAAUCCGUGCUAGAAACGAUGAUGUUGGUCCCGCACAUACGAGUUGUGUUAAAAUAGAGCUUUGCUCGUGAACCAAAUCUGGUCGGCUGGGCCAAUCGAGCGGAAAUGCUUGGUUGGUUUGUCGGCGAAUUGCAAUAAUCAUAUGGGCGGGGGUGAAUCCUUUGCAGACGACUUGAAUGGGAACGGGGUACUGUAAGCAGUAGAGUAGCCUUGUUGCUACGAUCUGCUGAGGUUAAGCCCUUGUUCUAUAGAUUU
Molecule: non-coding RNA, 387 nt
Filed under: Dichomitus squalens LYAD-421 SS1
Lineage: Eukaryota; Fungi; Basidiomycota; Agaricomycetes; Polyporales; Polyporaceae
Description: Eukaryotic large subunit ribosomal RNA
Rfam family: Eukaryotic large subunit ribosomal RNA
Source: Rfam by way of RNAcentral